This 1068-nucleotide long non-coding RNA is filed under the name Oryctolagus cuniculus (rabbit). RNAcentral describes it as "lncRNA (ENSOCUG00000031824.1)". The record is from RNAcentral. Lineage: Eukaryota; Metazoa; Chordata; Mammalia; Lagomorpha; Leporidae.
AUGCAAGGUAUCUUUCUGCAUCUGGUGGCACUAUUUGUUAUUAAGUACAGAUCUUGCUCCAAGGAAGGGCUGAAUGGAAUACAAUGUGAAUGGAUUAGACACCAUGGAACCAGUGGAUGGUUGUGUUGGUGGAGGUUUAAGAAAAGGCUAACUCAUAUCCUAAGCUAUUUCUGUUCCUAGAAGACUAAGCAACUGCCCUUUUCAUGGUAGAAAUGGACCAUUUUAAUUGGCCCGACCUUGAGAUUGCCUCAAGGGAUGGUGCUAUAUUGAUGGCUCAGAAUUGAUCUCUUCUGCUGGGAGACUGUAUAUUCACUAUGCAAGUGGCGAUACCAGUCUUGGUAAGAAAAAACCACAUUGUUAGGUGCAUCUGUGUGUCUUCAUUCCUGCCAGGUAGCCAUUUUAUUAAUUGACACAUUUUAUUAGCCACAUUGCUAAGGAAAGGAACAGGCUGACGUUCACAGAAAGAGCCAUUCUGUCUCCUAAAUGAUUGAGAGCUUCUUCUGUGGAAUUUUGCUCUACUGAAUAUUAUUGAGAGACCUGAAGAUAUGAACACUUUGUGUCCAGUCCUGUAGAUUAGUUUGCAUAUCUAUUCCCAAAAAUUCAUGGUCAUUGAUGCUCCUAUUUUGUUUUUUGUAGACUGGUCAACAAAUAGUCAAGACAUUUACCACCUACCAGGUAUCUAUGUUUACAUCAAGCUACAUUUAUGUCUAUUAGAAUUAAAUGACCAAGAGUACUGCUAGCAGUUCUGUCUUCUGGGAUGAUUUCCCUUUACAACUGUUCUCUAGAAAUACCUCUGCAUCAUGUUGCAAUAACAGCUGCUAAUUUCUCAUCAGCAUGUACAUGCCAACUCAUUUGUGAGCUGAGCCUGAGUUGUUGUUCUUCCUUCCUCCUCCUUCUUCUUCUUUUCUUUUUUAAAGAUCUAUUUAUUUGAAAGGCAGAGUUACAGAAAGGCAGAGGCAGAAAGAGAGAGAGAGAGAGAGAGAGAGAGAGAGACCCUCCACCUGCUGGUUCACUCCCCAAAUACCUGCAAUAGCUGGAACUGGGCCAGUCUGAAGCCAGGAGCCUGGA